AAGAGGGUAGCUUAGUGGUCAAAGGCAGCAGGCUGUAAACUUGCUGAUUAAUUUCUUCGUAGGUUCGAAUCCUAUCCCUUUUA
The sequence is a transfer RNA, 83 nucleotides long. It matches the Rfam family "tRNA". Rfam says of the family: Transfer RNA (tRNA) molecules are approximately 80 nucleotides in length. Their secondary structure includes four short double-helical elements and three loops (D, anti-codon, and T loops).